ACGGUUACCUUGUUACGACUUCACCCCAGUUAUCGGUCCCGCCUUCGGCAGCUCCCUCCGGUUAUGGUUGGGUCACUGACUUCGGGCGUUACUGACUCCCAUGGUGUGACGGGCGGUGUGUACAAGACCCGGGAACGUAUUCACCGCGACAUUCUGAUUCGCGAUUACUAGCGAUUCCAGCUUCAUGUAGUCGAGUUGCAGACUACAAUCCGAACUGAGACGUUAUUUCUGGGAUUUGCUCGCACUCGCGUGUUCGCUUCCCUUUGUUUACGCCAUUGUAGCACGUGUGUAGCCCUGGUCAUAAGGGGCAUGAUGAUUUGACGUCAUCCCCACCUUCCUCCAGGUUGUCCCUGGCAGUCUCUCCAGAGUGCCCAUCCCAAAUGCUGGCUACUGAAGAUAGGGGUUGCGCUCGUUGCGGGACUUAACCCAACAUCUCACGACACGAGCUGACGACAACCAUGCACCACCUGUCUCCCCUGUCCCGAAGGAAAGGUGACAUUACUCACCGGUCAAGGGGAUGUCAA
Molecule: ribosomal RNA, 524 nt
Filed under: uncultured bacterium
Lineage: Bacteria
Description: partial 16S ribosomal RNA
Source: RNAcentral